This 418-nucleotide ribosomal RNA is filed under the name Streptococcus dysgalactiae subsp. dysgalactiae. Its description in RNAcentral is "partial 23S ribosomal RNA". It matches the Rfam family "Bacterial large subunit ribosomal RNA", at positions 1937 to 2366 of the family's 2925-position model. The record is from RNAcentral. Lineage: Bacteria; Bacillati; Bacillota; Bacilli; Lactobacillales; Streptococcaceae.
UAACUAUAACGGUCCUAAGGUAGCGAAAUUCCUUGUCGGGUAAGUUCCGACCUGCACGAAUGGUGUAACGAUCUGGGCACUGUCUCAGCCACGAGCUCGGUGAAAUUGUAGUAUCGGUGAAGAUGCCGAUUACCCGCAAUGGGACGAAAAGACCCUGUGAACCUUUACUAUAACUUCGUAUUGACUUCGAGUAAACAAUGUGUAGGAUAGGUGGGAGGCAGUGAAGCAGGCACGCUAGUGUUUGUGGAGCCAACGUUGAAAUACCACCCUUUGUUUACUUGGAGCCUAACUUCUACGGAAGGACAUUGCGUGGUGGGUAGUUUGACUGGGGUGGUCGCCUCCAAAAGAGUAACGGAGGCUUUCAAAGGUACCCUCAGCACGCUUGGUAACCGUGCGUAGAGUGUAAUGGCAUAAGGGU